AGAGUUUGAUCCUGGCUCAGAUUGAACGCUGGCGGCAUGCUUUACACAUGCAAGUCGAACGGCAGCACGGGGGCAACCCUGGUGGCGAGUGGCGAACGGGUGAGUAAUGUAUCGGAACAUGUCCGGAAGUGGGGGAUAACGUAGCGAAAGUUACGCUAAUACCGCAUAUGCCCUGAGGGGGAAAGGAGGGGAUCGCAAGACCUUUCGCUUUCGGAGUGGCCGAUAUCAGAUUAGCUAGUUGGUGAGGUAAAGGCUCACCAAGGCGACGAUCUGUAGCUGGUCUGAGAGGACGACCAGCCACACUGGGACUGAGACACGGCCCAGACUCCUACGGGAGGCAGCAGUGGGGAAUUUUGGACAAUGGGGGCAACCCUGAUCCAGCCAUGCCGCGUGAGUGAAGAAGG
RNAcentral lists this ribosomal RNA (404 nucleotides) under uncultured bacterium. RNAcentral's name for it is "bacterial SSU rRNA". It matches the Rfam family "Bacterial small subunit ribosomal RNA", at positions 8 to 414 of the family's 1533-position model. The record is from RNAcentral.